CAGCCCUGGUCACAACAUUCAAUGGAGAGAUUGGGAUUGCUGGCGCUAUUUUAACAAAGCUGGAUGGAGAUUCUAGAGGUGUAAAGCAAGGACAGCAGCUGCAGUCAAAGUUCCAGAGUUUCAAUUUGAGGUGAGAAGGAAUUAUAGAGACCACAUACCUUCAAGAAGAAGUCAAUGAAGUUCAUGAUGGGAAGAAUUCGUUAGCGAUAAGUAUCUUUAGACUUUUACAAUGUGGAUCUUCAUCAAUUCUGUUGUUUAACUCUGUACCUAGUGAAACUUCUUUAAUUUGUAGCAAAAUUUACCUUUUCCAUUACAAGUAUCUUUAGACUUUGACUUUUGCAAUGCGGAUCUUCAGUUCUAUACUCUAUUAAUAUAUUGCAACUUCAUUU
Long non-coding RNA from Rosa chinensis, 389 nucleotides. RefSeq lists it as uncharacterized. The record is from RefSeq and is a predicted model, not a curated record. Lineage: Eukaryota; Viridiplantae; Streptophyta; Magnoliopsida; Rosales; Rosaceae. The transcript is spliced from 3 exons.